RNAcentral lists this ribosomal RNA (468 nucleotides) under uncultured bacterium. Its description in RNAcentral is "partial 16S ribosomal RNA". It matches the Rfam family "Bacterial small subunit ribosomal RNA", at positions 28 to 507 of the family's 1533-position model. The record is from RNAcentral.
GACGAACGCUGGCGGCGUGCUUAACACAUGCAAGUCGAACGGAAAGGCCCUGCUUUUGUGGGGUGCUCGAGUGGCGAACGGGUGAGUAACACGUGAGUAACCUGCCCUUGACUUUGGGAUAACUUCAGGAAACUGGGGCUAAUACCGGAUAGGAGCUCCUGCUGCAUGGUGGGGGUUGGAAAGUUUCGGCGGUUGGGGAUGGACUCGCGGCUUAUCAGCUUGUUGGUGGGGUAGUGGCUUACCAAGGCUUUGACGGGUAGCCGGCCUGAGAGGGUGACCGGCCACAUUGGGACUGAGGUACGGCGCAGACGCCUACGGGAGGCAGCAGUGGGGAAUAUUGCACAGUGGGCGGAAGCCUGAUGCAGCAACGUCGCGUGCGUGAUGACGGCCUUCGGGGUGUAAACCGCUGUCGCCUGUGACGAAGCGUGAGUGACGGUAAUGAGUAAAGAAGCACCGGCUAACUACGUG